GAGGCGGCAAAAAAAAAAAAAAAAAAAAAAACCCCCGCCUCAAACCGUGGAAAAUACAUGGAAACGGCAAUUUGGAUUCAGCAGAGGAGGGUAGAAUUCCAGGUGUAGCGGUGAAAUGCGUAGAUAUCGGGAGGAAUACCAGUGGUGAAGGGGACUCUCUGGUCAAGGACUGACGCUCAGGCUCGAAAGGGUGGGUACCAAACAGG
Molecule: ribosomal RNA, 206 nt
Filed under: uncultured Aeromonadaceae bacterium
Lineage: Bacteria; Pseudomonadati; Pseudomonadota; Gammaproteobacteria; Aeromonadales; Aeromonadaceae
Description: partial 16S ribosomal RNA
Rfam family: Bacterial small subunit ribosomal RNA
Source: RNAcentral